CUAGGAGGGCAGGGCCAAGAUGGCUGACUAGAAGCAGCCUCUGACCAUCAGAGGCUCCCAUUGAAAAGAACCAUAAUACUGUGUGAAUCCCGCACUGUCAACCAAGGUAUCCAGGUUCUCCCAACAGGAAUGAUUAGGCAGACUUAGCCUUUCCUCCUCGUAGUUCUGAGGAAUCCAGGCAGCCCAGACAAGUGGGUUCCCUCCAGAGAAACACACUCCCUCCACCAAGGGACAGUCAAAGUGCUUCGUUAAAUAGGUCCUGUUCCCUAUGCCACCUGACCGGGUGAGACCCUCCAACAGGAGUUGUCAGACACCCUAUACAGGAACAAUCCUACUGGCAUCAGAUUGGUGCCUCUCAAGGUCAGAGAUUCCAGAAGAAGGGGAAGGCACCCAUCUUUGCUCUUCUCCAGCCUCGAGUGACAUCUCCAGGUGUGGGAGCAAAUCAGACGAAUAGGGCCUGAAGUGAACCCCCUGCAAAUUUUGGCAGCCCUACAGAAGAGGGACCUGACCAUUGAAAGGAAAACAAACAAACAGAAAGCAAUAACAACAGCAUCAUCAACAACAAAAACGUCCCCACAAAAAACCCAUCCAAGAGUCAUCAGUCCUAAAGAUCGAAACUGACAAACUCAUGAAGAUGAGAAUCAAUGAAAAACUGCUGAAAACCCAAAAGACUCUUCACCUCCAAAAGAUCUCAGUACCUGGCCAGCAAGGGCACAGAACUGGAUGGAGGAUGAGAUGGAUGAAUUGACAGAAGCAGGCUUCAGAAGAUGGGUAAUUAAAAACUCCACUGAACUAAAAGAGCAUGUUCUAUCCCAAUGAAAACAAGCUAAGAACUUUGAUAAAAUGUAAGAGGAGCUGCUAACUGGAAUAACCACUUUAGAGAGGAACAUAAAUGACUUCUUGGAGCUGAAAAACACAGCACAAGAAUUUUGUGAAGCAUACACAAGUAUCAAUAGCUGAACUGAACAAGCAGAAGAAAGGAUAGCAGAGUUUGAAGACCACCUUGCCAAAAUAAGGCAUGCAGACAAGAUUAGAAAAA
This 1039-nucleotide long non-coding RNA is filed under the name Homo sapiens (human). RNAcentral's name for it is "HSALNT0052379". Lineage: Eukaryota; Metazoa; Chordata; Mammalia; Primates; Hominidae. The record is from RNAcentral.